AUUGAACGCUGGCGGCAGGCCUAACACAUGCAAGUCGAGCGGAUGAAGGGAGCUUGCUCCUGGAUUCAGCGGCGGACGGGUGAGUAAUGCCUAGGAAUCUGCCUGGUAGUGGGGGAUAACGUCCGGAAACGGGCGCUAAUACCGCAUCCGUCCUUAGGGAGAAAGUGGGGGAUCUUCGGACCUCACGCUAUCAGAUGAGCCUAGGUCGGAUUAGCUAGUUGGUGGGGUAAAGGCCUACCAAGGCGACGAUCCGUAACUGGUCUGAGAGGAUGAUCAGUCACACUGGAACUGAGACACGGUCCAGACUCCUACGGGAGGCAGCAGUGGGGAAUAUUGGACAAUGGGCGAAAGCCUGAUCCAGCCAUGCCGCGUGUGUGAAGAAGGUCUUCGGAUUGUAAAGCACUUUAAGUUGGGAGGAAGGGCAGUAAGUUAAUACCUUGCUGUUUUGACGUUACCAACAGAAUAAGCACCGGCUAACUUCGUG
Molecule: ribosomal RNA, 484 nt
Filed under: uncultured bacterium
Lineage: Bacteria
Description: partial 16S ribosomal RNA
Rfam family: Bacterial small subunit ribosomal RNA
Source: RNAcentral